GACGAACGCUGGCGGCGUGCCUAAUACAUGCAAGUUGAACGCUAAAGCUUUGACUGGUGCUUGCACCGACCUAAGUUUUUAGAGUAGCGGACGGGUGAGUAACACGUGGGUAACCUGCCCAUCAGAGGGGGAUAACACUUGGAAACAGGUGCUAAUACCGCAUAACAAUAUCAAUCGCAUGAUAGAUAUUUGAAAGGCGCUUAUGGUGUCACUGAUAGAUGGACCCGCGGUGCAUUAGCUAGUCGGUGGGGUAACGGCCUACCGAGGCGAUGAUGCAUAGCCGACCUGAGAGGGUGAUCGGCCACAUUGGGACUGAGACACGGCCCAAACUCCUACGGGAGGCAGCAGUAGGGAAUCUUCGGCAAUGGACGAAAGUCUGACCGAGCAACGCCGCGUGAGUGAAGAAGGUUUUCGGAUCGUAAAACUCUGUUGUUAGAGAAGAACAGGAGAAGUAGUAACUGGCUUCUUUUUGACGGUAUCUAACCAGAAAGCCACGGCUAACUACGUGCCAGCCGCCGCAGUAAAAC
Molecule: ribosomal RNA, 527 nt
Filed under: uncultured bacterium
Lineage: Bacteria
Description: bacterial SSU rRNA
Rfam family: Bacterial small subunit ribosomal RNA
Source: RNAcentral